RNAcentral lists this ribosomal RNA (495 nucleotides) under uncultured bacterium. RNAcentral describes it as "partial 16S ribosomal RNA". It matches the Rfam family "Bacterial small subunit ribosomal RNA", at positions 28 to 507 of the family's 1533-position model. The record is from RNAcentral.
GACGAACGCUGGCGGCGUGCCUAAUACAUGCAAGUAGAACGCUGAAGGAGGAGCUUGCUUCUCUGGAUGAGUUGCGAACGGGUGAGUAACGCGUAGGUAACCUGCCUGGUAGCGGGGGAUAACUAUUGGAAACGAUAGCUAAUACCGCAUAAUAGUAGAUGUUGCACGACAUUUGCUUAAAAGGUGCAAUUGCAUCACUACCAGAUGGACCUGCGUUGUAUUAGCUAGUUGGUGGGGUAACGGCUCACCAAGGCGACGAUACAUAGCCGACCUGAGAGGGUGAUCGGCCACACUGGGACUGAGACACGGCCCAGACUCCUACGGGAGGCAGCAGUAGGGAAUCUUCGGCAAUGGACGGAAGUCUGACCGAGCAACGCCGCGUGAGUGAAGAAGGUUUUCGGAUCGUAAAGCUCUGUUGUAAGAGAAGAACGAGUGUGAGAGUGGAAAGUUCACACUGUGACGGUAUCUUACCAGAAAGGGACGGCUAACUACGUG